GGGACAUGGAUUUGGGGCUCUGCAAAGAGGGGAGCCGAAUGUGAGACUGUUGAAUAAAGUGAGGUCUCUCAAAGGGAACAGAAGCAGAAAGGUCUCCCACUAGCACAGAACUCAGCCAGAAAAGCUCCUAUGAAACCCAAGAGAGCUCCUACACAGAGAAGGAGAAGCAAGCACUUAAGGUAGGCUGAAGCCAGCAGUUAAUGCCUGCAAGUUGGUCACCAUGGAAACAACACCACAAGAAAAUCUCCCUCCACUACCUCAUUCUUUAAUAUCUGAAAUUUUAAAUUUACAAAAUUAAGAUACAAAGAAUCAAUCAUGAAGCUG
RNAcentral lists this long non-coding RNA (324 nucleotides) under Pan troglodytes (chimpanzee). RNAcentral describes it as "long non-coding RNA NONPTRT004108". The record is from RNAcentral. Lineage: Eukaryota; Metazoa; Chordata; Mammalia; Primates; Hominidae.